GCCACGAUAGCGCAGGUGGUAGGGCAUCUGCCCGAUAUGCGGAGGGUCGCCGGUUCGAUUCCGGCUCGCGGCG
Molecule: transfer RNA, 73 nt
Filed under: Fasciola gigantica
Lineage: Eukaryota; Metazoa; Platyhelminthes; Trematoda; Plagiorchiida; Fasciolidae
Rfam family: tRNA
About the family: Transfer RNA (tRNA) molecules are approximately 80 nucleotides in length. Their secondary structure includes four short double-helical elements and three loops (D, anti-codon, and T loops).
Source: Rfam by way of RNAcentral